This 468-nucleotide ribosomal RNA is filed under the name uncultured bacterium. RNAcentral describes it as "partial 16S ribosomal RNA". It matches the Rfam family "Bacterial small subunit ribosomal RNA", at positions 28 to 507 of the family's 1533-position model. The record is from RNAcentral.
GACGAACGCUGGCGGCGUGCUUAACACAUGCAAGUCGAACGGAAAGGCCCUGCUUUUGUGGGGUGCUCGAGUGGCGAACGGGUGAGUAACACGUGAGUAACCUGCACUUGACCUUGGGAUAACCUAAGGAAACUGGGGCUAAUACCGGAUAGGAGCUACUGCUGCAUGGUGGGGGCUGGAAAGUUUCGAUGGUUGGGGAUGGACUAGCGGCCUAUCAGCUUGUUGGUUUGGUAGUGGCUUACCAUGGCCUUGACGGGUAGCCGGCCUGGGAGGAUGAGCGGCCACGUUGGAACUGGGAUGAGGCCCGGACUCCAACGGGAGGGGAGGGAGCGGAAGGGUGCACAAUGGGCGGGGGGCUGGUGCAACAACGCCGCGUGCGGUGUGACGGCAUGCGGUUUGGAAUCCGCUGUCGCCUGUGACGAAGCGUGAGUGACGGUAAUGGGUGAAUAAGCACCGGCUAACUACGUG